Heterocephalus glaber (naked mole-rat) is the source of this 337-nucleotide non-coding RNA. The record is from RefSeq and is a predicted model, not a curated record. NCBI's taxonomy places the organism in Eukaryota, Metazoa, Chordata, Mammalia, Rodentia, Bathyergidae.
AAAAUUUUCACUCCUUAAAUGGGUGAGCCAGCCAUGGAGAAUCCACUCUUGUCUCCUUUUGUGACUGCAACCCCACCUCCGCCCCAUCCUGAGCGGAACUGCCUCUGCCUUGCUGUGGAUGUUUCAAGUGUCCCGUGUAUAUGCUGGUCUUCAGAGGUGUCCUUUCUCCAUUUUCCCAAGUGGCCUUGAGUGUCAGAGCAGACUUUGGAGGAGCGCUUUUCAUUACAGCUGAUACUGUUCAGACUUUGGCAACACUUACAGGUACUCAGGUUUUUCUAUGAAGAACUCUGUGGCAAAGGAGGAAUCCACAUCCUGGUGAGUUCAGGGAGAGAAAGGG